CUAAGUGCAAUUAAGCCUGAAACUUAAAACACAUAUAAAUAGGGAUUUUGCCAUUCGGACUUUCUUAAACUCCAAAACCAUUCGGACUUUGCGAUCAUCCAAGACCACCGACCUUCCACCUUCCGCCACCGUUUUCCGGCAACUCGACCAGCAUCGUCCUUCCUUCUUUCUUAAUCGUAUAGUUCAAUGGAGGAGAAGGGAUUUGAGAUUAUUAUUUCUCUUUGCGGUAUCCUUUUCCACAUUAACUAAUGGCAACAUCUUUUAGUUACUUUGCUUUAUGAAUUAUGAUAUUCACAAUUAUCAUGAUUGUUAGGGAUCUGGGACGACAUUAAUGAAUUAAGAGUUUGUUGUUGUGCACGCGUAGUAGUUAAAUGAUAUGGGGUUCAUUUUAUAAUAUAACCCUAGAGACCUAGACUAUAAAUAUAAACAUACUUAACUAGAUAUAAGUGAAGAGACCUGUUUAUACAUUAUACCAAGGACAAUAAAAUUGCGUCCAAACAUUGGCACUAGAACCUUUGAGUAGUUAUGUCCAAAACACAGAUUUUGAGACCAGUUACAUGACACAAUCUUGUUACUUAUCUUUAAGUCAAGUCACUAGCCUGCUUGAGAAAUCUUGCCUCUUGUGUCUAUGUUAGAAUAGAUAGUAAAGAAUUAAGAAUACCACUGAGUAAUGGUUCUUAUAUUGAUGAAUAACAA
Non-coding RNA from Cicer arietinum (chickpea), 696 nucleotides. The record is from RefSeq and is a predicted model, not a curated record. Lineage: Eukaryota; Viridiplantae; Streptophyta; Magnoliopsida; Fabales; Fabaceae.